Molecule: ribosomal RNA, 252 nt
Filed under: uncultured bacterium
Lineage: Bacteria
Description: partial 16S ribosomal RNA
Rfam family: Bacterial small subunit ribosomal RNA
Source: RNAcentral
UACGUAGGUCCCGAGCGUUGUCCGGAUUUAUUGGGCGUAAAGCGAGCGCAGGUGGUUUAUUAAGUCUGGUGUAAAGGGCAGUGGCUCAACCAUUGUAUGCAUUGGAAACUGGUAGACUUGAGUGCAGGAGAGGAGAGUGGAAUUCCAUGUGUAGCGGUGAAAUGCGUAGAUAUAUGGAGGAACACCGGUGGCGAAAGCGGCUCUCUGGCCUGUAACUGACACUGAGGCUCGAAAGCGUGGGGAGCAAACAGG